This is a long non-coding RNA of Esox lucius (northern pike), 592 nucleotides long. RefSeq lists it as uncharacterized. Lineage: Eukaryota; Metazoa; Chordata; Actinopteri; Esociformes; Esocidae. The transcript has 4 exons. The record is from RefSeq and is a predicted model, not a curated record.
AUCACCGCACUGGUAGCGAAUAAAAUAUGAAAACAAAAGAUUAAAAAGUCCUCGGGGCGUUCAAAGUCAACAGACAGUGGAAUUGUUGCGUUUAAGAACAUGGCGACUCCAUCAUACAACGAGCAUCGAGUCUUUAUUUAUAGCAGAAAUACUGCAUCUACGCUGAGAGUAAUCCUCCGGGUCAAGGCAUUGCCCCCUGAAGUUCGCUUGUUGACAGCGCACCCCAAAAAGGUCCUACAAAGAUGACAGCGAUAUAAAUAGAAUCAGUGGGGAAGGCCAAAAAUGGAGUAGGAAGCUGAAGACACUUCCACUAGAUCCACUAGAUGGCAGCAGUGCUGUUUGGAAAACAGUGUGGAGGAGAAUGUGUCUCAUACGGAAGGGAAGAAUCGGAUAUAACCUCAACAGGCCAGGCAAAGACGGAGGAGCAAUUUUAUGCAUAUCGCUGUUCUUGGGGGCACCUGUGUGAACAAAGAAAUCUGUCUACUCCAGCUCCAGCUCAGUGUUUUUUGACAGUAGCUACUAAUAGAUGGUUAUUUUGAAAAUGUCCGCUCCCCCUUUACAAAUAACAUCCACUUAAUUUUGUAAUUUUGGU